Pristis pectinata (smalltooth sawfish) is the source of this 189-nucleotide small nuclear RNA. RefSeq annotates it as U2 spliceosomal RNA. The transcript has a single exon. Lineage: Eukaryota; Metazoa; Chordata; Chondrichthyes; Rhinopristiformes; Pristidae. The record is from RefSeq and is a predicted model, not a curated record.
AACACUAACAAUGUAAGGAGUUUUGCACUGUUUAUUAUCAGUUUAAUAUCUGAUACAUCCCCUCUCUGGGGACCAUAUAUUUAAUUGAUUUUUGGAGCAGGGUGAUGGAACAGGGGCUUGUUCAAUGCACUCUGUACAUUGACCCAGUAUUGCAAUGCCUCGCCUCUUUCUGGGGGGAUUGUUAACAAU